RNAcentral lists this ribosomal RNA (539 nucleotides) under uncultured bacterium. Its description in RNAcentral is "partial 16S ribosomal RNA". It matches the Rfam family "Bacterial small subunit ribosomal RNA", at positions 355 to 895 of the family's 1533-position model. The record is from RNAcentral.
UGANGNNNNUUGGUCAAUGGGCGCGAGCCUGAACCAGCCAAGUAGCGUGCAGGAUGACGGCCCUAUGGGUUGUAAACUGCUUUUGUAUGGGGAUAAAGUCAAUCACGUGUGAUUGUUUGCAGGUACCAUACGAAUAAGGACCGGCUAAUUCCGUGCCAGCAGCCGCGGUAAUACGGAAGGUCCGGGCGUUAUCCGGAUUUAUUGGGUUUAAAGGGAGCGUAGGCCGGAGAUUAAGUGUGUUGUGAAAUGUAGACGCUCAACGUCUGACUUGCAGCGCAUGCUGGUUUCCUUGAGUACGCACAACGUUGGCGGAAUUCGUCGUGUAGCGGUGAAAUGCUUAGAUAUGACGAAGAACUCCGAUUGCGAAGGCAGCUGACGGGAGCGCAACUGACGCUUAAGCUCGAAGGUGCGGGUAUCGAACAGGAUUAGAUACCCUGGUAGUCCGCACAGUAAACGAUGGAUGCCCGCUGUUGGUACCUGGUAUCAGCGGCUAANCGAAAGCAUUAAGCAUCCCACCUGGGGAGUACNCCGGNNNNGUG